This 458-nucleotide ribosomal RNA is filed under the name uncultured soil bacterium. RNAcentral's name for it is "bacterial SSU rRNA". It matches the Rfam family "Bacterial small subunit ribosomal RNA", at positions 26 to 520 of the family's 1533-position model. The record is from RNAcentral.
AGAACGAACGCUGGCGGCAUGCCUAAUACAUGCAAGUCGAACGAACUCUUCGGAGUUAGUGGCGCACGGGUGCGUAACGCGUGGGAAUCUGCCCCUUGGUUCGGAAUAACAGUUGGAAACGACUGCUAAUACCGGAUGAUGACGAAAGUCCAAAGAUUUAUCGCCAAGGGAUGAGCCCGCGUAGGAUUAGCUAGUUGGUGAGGUAAAGGCUCACCAAGGCAACGAUCCUUAGCUGGUCUGAGAGGAUGAUCAGCCACACUGGGACUGAGACACGGCCCAGACUCCUACGGGAGCAGCAGUAGGGAAUAUGGACAAUGGGCGAAAGCCUGAUCCAGCAAUGCCGCGUGAGCGAUGAAGGCCUUAGGUUGUAAAGCUCUUUACCGAGAUGAUAAUGAACAGUAGUCGGAAGAAAGUAAACGCCCCGGACUAAACCGUCCCGUACGCCCAGCGAGCCCGAC